Seriola aureovittata is the source of this 498-nucleotide long non-coding RNA. RefSeq lists it as uncharacterized. The transcript is spliced from 5 exons. The record is from RefSeq and is a predicted model, not a curated record. Lineage: Eukaryota; Metazoa; Chordata; Actinopteri; Carangiformes; Carangidae.
UGCUCAGUAGAUCGAAUGGACUCCUCUACUCCUCUGUCUUCACUAAAUAAUUGUCUGGCUUGUGGCAGCCAGUGUUAGAGGAACAGAACAGCUGCUGCGUCUGACUCAGCGUCUGCAGAGCUUCAAUAUAUUCUCUGAGGUGAUGUGGCAGAAACUGAGUUUGACAGUAUGGAGGUGCCCACUGCAGUAGUUUGCCACUGAGAUCCAGCUGCUGAAGUCUUCUACAUCCCAAGGACAGAGACUGAACUCCUGCAUCUGUUACUGCCUUACAGCCACUUAUAUCCAGACAGGAUGGAGUGAGGAACUGACAGCCAAACACCUCCAACCUGGAGAGACUAACGUGAAAACAAAGCCACAAAAAGACGUUUGAUUGUCAAGUCCACUUCAGCAGAGAGUUUCCACACAAAGUGAAAAACAUCUCCAGCCCACAGGAGGUGACAGACAGGCCACUGCAGCUGUACAGACUCAGGCUGCGAGGACGACGUUUGCCCACAAAAA